GAUGAAGAACGUAGCGAAAUGCGAUAAGUAAUGUGAAUUGCAGAAUUCAGUGAAUCAUCGAAUCUUUGAAGGCACAUUGCGCCCGCUAGUAUUCUGGCGGGCAUGCCUGUCCGAGCGUCAUUUCAACCCUCAAGCCCCCGGGCUUGGUGUUGGGGAUCGGCGAGCCUCCGCGCCCGCCGUCCCCUAAAUCUAGUGGCGGUCUCGCUGUAGCUUCCUCUGCGUAGUAGCACACCUCGCACUGGGAAACAGCGCGGCCACGCCGUUAAACCCCCAACUUCUGAACGUUUGACCUCGGAUCAGGUAGGAAUACCCGCUGAACUUAAGCAUAUCAAUAAGCGGAGGA
Molecule: unclassified non-coding RNA, 343 nt
Filed under: soil metagenome
Description: partial contains 5.8S ribosomal RNA, internal transcribed spacer 2, and large subunit ribosomal RNA
Rfam family: 5.8S ribosomal RNA (bases 1-120)
Source: RNAcentral